CUGAGGCUGCUUUGAAUGGCAAUGUUGGCCCUAAGAAAACCCAACAAGGGAAAAAAAGCAUUAACUUCAUCAGGAGGAGGAGAUCAUGCGCGCAUGAGGGAAAAUCAAGUGUGAAUUCUCUAGCAAUGCGUUGAGGAGGAGGUAUCGCGCCUCAGGUAACAGAGUGAAGAGCAGUUUCACUCUAUGUAGGAGGAGAUGAGGUGUAUGAUGAGGUAGAUGGCGUCAUCAUCCCGCCCUUAAAGUGAUUCUGUUGAUCCCCAUGAUCAGAGCACGCA
RNAcentral lists this unclassified non-coding RNA (275 nucleotides) under Hevea brasiliensis (rubber tree). The record is from RNAcentral. Lineage: Eukaryota; Viridiplantae; Streptophyta; Magnoliopsida; Malpighiales; Euphorbiaceae.